GAUCCUGGCUCAGGAUGAACGCUAGCGGCAGGCUUAACACAUGCAAGUCGAGGGGCAGCAUUCGGGUAGCAAUACCUGAGAUGGCGACCGGCGCACGGGUGCGUAACGCGUAUGCAACCUACCCAUAACAGGGGCAUAACACUGAGAAAUUGGUACUAAUUCCCCAUAACAUUCGAAGAGGCAUCUUUUCGGUUGGUAAAACUACCGGUCGGUUAGUUGGAGUGGGCGAUGCGUUGUUAUUAGUCUGGUUGGG
RNAcentral lists this ribosomal RNA (253 nucleotides) under uncultured bacterium. Its description in RNAcentral is "partial 16S ribosomal RNA". It matches the Rfam family "Bacterial small subunit ribosomal RNA", at positions 15 to 254 of the family's 1533-position model. The record is from RNAcentral.